AGUUCGAUUAUGAAAAGCUCCAGAUUGAACCGCUGGCGGGAUGUACUACACAUGCAAGUCAGACAGCGGCACGGACUUCGGUCUGGUGGCGAGUGGCGAACGGGUGAGUAAUGUAUCGGAACGUGCCUAGUAGCGGGGGAUAACUACGCGAAAGCGUAAAUAAUACCGCAUACGCCCUUCGGGAAAGCAGGGGACCUUCGGAGCCUCGCACUAUUAGAGCAGCCGAUAUCGGAUUUAGCUAGUUGGUGGAGUAACGGCUCACCAAGGCGACGAUCCGUAGCUGGUUUGAGAGGACGACCAGCCACACUGGGACUGAGACAGCCCAGACUCCUACAGGGAGGCAGCAGUGGGGAAUUUUGGACAAUGGGAAACUACAGAUCCAGCCAUCCGCGUGUACGAUGAAGGCCUUCGGGUUGUAAAGCACUUUUUUUGGCAGGAAAACAGCACGGGAUAAUACCCCAUGCAACUGACGAAUACCUGGGAGCAAAGCACCGGCUAACUACGUGCCAACAGCCGCGGUAAUACGUAGGGUGCAAGCGUUAAUCGAGAUUACUGGGCGUAGCAUGCGCAGGCGGUUCCGGAAAGAAAGAUGCUGAAAUCCCAGAGCUUAACUGAACUGUUUUAACUACCGAGCUAGUGUGUCAGAGGGAGGUGGAAUUCCGCGUGUAGCAGUGAAAUGCGUAGAUAUGCGGAGAGACACCGAUGGCGAAGGCAGCCUCCUGGGAUAACACUGACGCUCAUGCGCUUGAUAGGAGCAAACAGGAUUAGAUACCCUGGUAGUCCCUUUAAACGAUGUCAACUAGCUGGGGCCGCUGGGCCUUGGUAGCGCAGCUUUAACGCGGCAAGUUGACCCCACUUUAUGGAAAUACGGUCGCAAGAUUAAAACUCAAAGGAAUUGACGGGGACCGCACAAGCGGUGGAUGAUGGAUUAAUUCGAUGCAACGCGAAAAACCUUACUGCCUUGACAUGUCUGGAAUCCCGAAGAGACUGGCGGUGCUCGCAGAGAACCGGAACACAGGUGCUGCAUGGCUGUCGCCAGCUCGUGUCGUGAGAUGUUGGUUAAGUCCUGACGACGCAACCCUUGUCGACUGGAUUUGCUACGAAAGGGCACUCUAAUGAGACUGCCGGUGACAAACCGGAGGAAGGUGAGGAUGACGUCAGAGUCCUCAUGGCCCUUAUGGGUAGGGCUUCACGUCAUACAAUGGGCCGGGACGGAAGGUCGCCAACCCGCGAGGGGGAGCCAAUCCCAGGAAACCCGAUCGUAGUCCGGAUCGCAGUCUGCAACUCGACUGCGUGAAGUCCCGGAAUCGUUAAGUAAUCGCGGAUCAGCAUGUCGCGGUGAAUACGUUCCCGGGUCUUAUACACACUGCACCCGUCACACCAUGGGAGUGGGUUUUACCGAAGUAGUUAGCCUAACCGUAAGGAGGGCGAUUACCACGGUAGGAUUCAUGACUGGGGUGAAGUCGUAACAAGGUAA
This 1477-nucleotide ribosomal RNA is filed under the name uncultured Bordetella sp. RNAcentral describes it as "partial 16S-23S ribosomal RNA intergenic spacer". It matches the Rfam family "Bacterial small subunit ribosomal RNA". Lineage: Bacteria; Pseudomonadati; Pseudomonadota; Betaproteobacteria; Burkholderiales; Alcaligenaceae. The record is from RNAcentral.